AGGACGAACGCUGGCGGCGUGCUUAACACAUGCAAGUCGAGCGGUAAGGCCUUUCGGGGUACACUAGCGGCGAACGGGUGAGUAACACGUGGGUGAUCUGCCCUGCACUUCGGGAUAAGCCUGGGAAACUGGGUCUAAUACCGGAUAUGACCUCAGGUUGCAUGACUUGGGGUGGAAAGAUUUAUCGGUGCAGGAUGGGCCCGCGGCCUAUCAGCUUGUUGGUGGGGUAAUGGCCUACCAAGGCGACGACGGGUAGCCGACCUGAGAGGGUGACCGGCCACACUGGGACUGAGACACGGCCCAGACUCCUACGGGAGGCAGCAGUGGGGAAUAUUGCACAAUGGGCGAAAAGCCUGAUGCAGCGACGCCGCGUGGGGGAUGACGGGCCUC
This 390-nucleotide ribosomal RNA is filed under the name uncultured soil bacterium. RNAcentral's name for it is "bacterial SSU rRNA". It matches the Rfam family "Bacterial small subunit ribosomal RNA", at positions 26 to 419 of the family's 1533-position model. The record is from RNAcentral.